RNAcentral lists this ribosomal RNA (498 nucleotides) under uncultured bacterium. Its description in RNAcentral is "partial 16S ribosomal RNA". It matches the Rfam family "Bacterial small subunit ribosomal RNA", at positions 30 to 523 of the family's 1533-position model. The record is from RNAcentral.
AUUGAACGCUGGCGGCAUGCCUUACACAUGCAAGUCGAACGGUAACAGGUCUUCGGAUGCUGACGAGUGGCGAACGGGUGAGUAAUACAUCGGAACGUGCCUAGUAGUGGGUGAUAACUACUCGAAAGAGUGGCUAAUACCGCAUGAGAUCUACGGAUGAAAGCAGGGGAUCGCAAGACCUUGUGCUACUAGAGCGGCCGAUGGCAGAUUAGGUAGUUGGUGGGAUAAAAGCUUACCAAGCCGACGAUCUGUAGCUGGUCUGAGAGGACGAUCAGCCACACUGGGACUGAGACACGGCCCAGACUCCUACGGGAGGCAGCAGUGGGGAAUUUUGGACAAUGGGCGAAAGCCUGAUUCAGCAAUGCCGCGUGCAGGAUGAAGGCCUUCGGGUUGUAAACUGCUUUUGUACGGAACGAAAAGCCCUGGGUUAAUACCCUGGGGUCAUGACGGUACCGUAAGAAUAAGCACCGGCUAACUACGUGCCAGCCGCCGCCGUAA